RNAcentral lists this ribosomal RNA (459 nucleotides) under uncultured bacterium. RNAcentral's name for it is "bacterial SSU rRNA". It matches the Rfam family "Bacterial small subunit ribosomal RNA", at positions 340 to 786 of the family's 1533-position model. The record is from RNAcentral.
UACGGAAGGCAGCAGUGGGGAAUAUUGCACAAUGGGCGAAAGCCUGAUGCAGCUAUGCCGCGUGUAUGAAGAAGGCCUUAGGGUUGUAAAGUACUUUCAUCGGGGAGGAAAAAACAAAACUAAUAAUUUUAUUUCUUGACGUUACCCGAAAAAGAAGCACCGGCUAACUCCGUGCCAGCAGCCGCGGUAAUACGGAGGGUGCUAGCGUUAAUCAGAAUUACUGGGCGUAAAGAGCACGUAGGUGGUUUUUUUAAAGUCAGAUGUGAAAUCCCUGGGCUUAACCUGGAACUGCAUUUUGAAACUGAAAUACUAGAGUAUCGUAGAGGGAGGUAGAAUUCUAGGUGUAGCGGUGAAAUGCGUAGAUAUCUGGAGGAAUACCUGUGGCGAAAGCGGCCUCCUAAACGAAUACUGACACUGAGGUGCGAAAGCGUGGGGAGCAAACGAGGGAUUUAGGAUACC